AGAACGAACGCUGGCGGCAGGCUUAACACAUGCAAGUCGAACGCUCCUAGCAAUAGGGGAGUGGCAGACGGGUGAGUAACGCGUGGGAACAUACCCUCCGGUUGGAAUAACUCAGGGAAACUUGAGCUAAUACCGGAUACGGCCUUUAGUCGAAGGAUUGGCGGCGAAAGAUUUAUCGCCGGAGGAUUGGCCCGCGUCCGAUUAGCUAGUUGGUGUGGUAAUGGCGCACCAAGGCGACGAUCGGUAGCUGGUCUGAGAGGAUGAUCAGCCACAUUGGGACUGAGACACGGCCCAAACUCCUACGGGAGGCAGCAGUGGGGAAUAUUGGACAAUGGGCGCAAGCCUGAUCCAGCCAUGCCGCGUGAGUGAUGACGGCCUUAGGGUUGUAAAGCUCUUUCGCUCGGGACGAUAAUGACGGUACCGAGAUAAGAAGCCCCGGCUAACUUCGUGCCAGCAGCCGC
Molecule: ribosomal RNA, 461 nt
Filed under: uncultured bacterium
Lineage: Bacteria
Description: SSU rRNA
Rfam family: Bacterial small subunit ribosomal RNA
Source: RNAcentral